Small nuclear RNA from Otolemur garnettii (small-eared galago), 107 nucleotides. The record is from Ensembl. NCBI's taxonomy places the organism in Eukaryota, Metazoa, Chordata, Mammalia, Primates, Galagidae.
GCGCUCACUUUGGCGGUGCAUACACUAAAAUUGGAACCCUAUAGAGAAGAUUAGCCUGGUCCCCAGGCAAGGAUGUCUUGUAAAUUCAUGAAGCAUUGCACAUUUUU